UACGUAGGGGGCUAGCGUUGUCCGGAUUUAUUGGGCGUAAAGCGCGCGCAGGCGGUCCUUUAAGUCUGAUGUGAAAGCCCACGGCUCAACCGUGGAGGGUCAUUGGAAACUGGGGGACUUGAGUACAGAAGAGAAGAGUGGAAUUCCACGUGUAGCGGUGAAAUGCGUAGAGAUGUGGAGGAACACCAGUGGCGAAGGCGACUCUUUGGUCUGUAACUGACGCUGAGGCGCGAAAGCGUGGGGAGCAAACAGG
This 253-nucleotide ribosomal RNA is filed under the name uncultured bacterium. RNAcentral describes it as "partial 16S ribosomal RNA". It matches the Rfam family "Bacterial small subunit ribosomal RNA", at positions 524 to 776 of the family's 1533-position model. The record is from RNAcentral.